Long non-coding RNA from Capra hircus (goat), 390 nucleotides. RefSeq lists it as uncharacterized. The record is from RefSeq and is a predicted model, not a curated record. NCBI's taxonomy places the organism in Eukaryota, Metazoa, Chordata, Mammalia, Artiodactyla, Bovidae. The transcript has 3 exons.
AGCAGGUCUCCAGGGCCUGAGUACCUCUGGGUGAGCCGACAACACUGGAUUUCCACAGUAGAGGCACAGACCCUGGAGGGACGGGGUGACUCCACUCAGGUGCAGGCCACUCUAGCACAGUCAACCAUCGGCCUCUGCAGCAGAAGACUUUGCACAUGGAGGAGACUUCGAUAUUCAUGAGUGAACAAAAUCUAAGGCUGUGCAAAGGUACAGUACACGAGGGGAACAGAUUUCCACCCCAGGGUUCACAGCAGCAGUUUACAAUAGCCAAGACACGGAAGCAACCUAAGUGCCCGUCCACAGAUGCAUGGAGAAAGAAGGCAGCUGCACCGCCUGUUACCUUCUCAUCACCCAACAGAGCAGGCUUUCAAUGAAGGACAGCUGAAGCAG